RNAcentral lists this ribosomal RNA (398 nucleotides) under uncultured bacterium. RNAcentral describes it as "partial 16S ribosomal RNA". It matches the Rfam family "Bacterial small subunit ribosomal RNA", at positions 523 to 918 of the family's 1533-position model. The record is from RNAcentral.
AUACGUAGGGGGCGAGCGUUGUCCGGAAUUACUGGGCGUAAAGAGCUCGUAGGUGGUUUGUCGCGUCGUCUGUGAAAUUCCGGGGCUUAACUUCGGGCGUGCAGGCGAUACGGGAAUAACUUGAGUACUGUAGGGGAGACUGGAAUUCCUGGGGUAGCGGUGAAAUGCGCAGAUAUCAGGAGGAACACCGGUGGCGAAGGGGGGUCUCUGGGCAGUAACUGACGCUGAGGAGGGAAAGCAUGGUUAGCGAACAGGAUUAGAUGCCCUGGUAGUCCAUGCCGUAAACGGUGGGCGCUAGGUGUAGGGGUCUUCCACGACUUCUGUGCCGUAGCUAACGCAUUAAGCGCCCCGCCUGGGGAGUACGGCCGCAAGGCUAAAACUCAAAUGAAUUGACGGGG